GAUGAACGCUGGCGGCGUGCCUAAUACAUGCAAGUCGAGCGAACGGACGAGAAGCUUGCUUCUCUGAUGUUAGCGGCGGACGGGUGAGUAACACGUGGAUAACCUACCUAUAAGACUGGGAUAACUUCGGGAAACCGUAGCUAAUACCGGAUAAUAUUUUGAACCGCAUGGUUCAAAAGUGAAAGACGGUCUUUCUGUCACUUAUAGAUGGAUCCGCGCUGCAUUAGCUAGUUGGUAAGGUAACGGCUUACCAAGGCAACGAUGCAUAGCCGACCUGAGAGGGUGAUCGGCCACACUGGAACUGAGACACGGUCCAGACUCCUACGGGAGGCAGCAGUAGCGAAUCUUACGCAAUGGGCGAAAGCCUGACGGAGCAACGCCGCGUGAGUGAUGAAGGUCUUCGGAUCGUAAAACUCUGUUAUUAGGGAAGAACAUAUGUGUAAGUAACUGUGCACAUCUUGACGGUACCUAAUCAGAAAGCCACGGCUAACUACGUG
Molecule: ribosomal RNA, 497 nt
Filed under: uncultured bacterium
Lineage: Bacteria
Description: partial 16S ribosomal RNA
Rfam family: Bacterial small subunit ribosomal RNA
Source: RNAcentral